GCUCCUAUCGUCUAGCGGUCAGGACAUCGGCUUUUCAAGCCGGUAACCGGGGUUCGACUCCCCGUGGGAGCA
RNAcentral lists this transfer RNA (72 nucleotides) under Candidatus Jorgensenbacteria bacterium GWC1_48_12. Its description in RNAcentral is "tRNA-Glu". It matches the Rfam family "tRNA". From Rfam's summary of the family: Transfer RNA (tRNA) molecules are approximately 80 nucleotides in length. RNAcentral also lists the same sequence under 1 other name. The record is from RNAcentral. Lineage: Bacteria; Candidatus Joergenseniibacteriota.